RNAcentral lists this ribosomal RNA (560 nucleotides) under uncultured bacterium. RNAcentral's name for it is "bacterial SSU rRNA". It matches the Rfam family "Bacterial small subunit ribosomal RNA", at positions 62 to 668 of the family's 1533-position model. The record is from RNAcentral.
UCGAGCGAGACCUUCGGGUCUAGCGGCGGACGGGUGAGUAACGCGUGGGAACGUGCCCUUUGCUACGGAAUAGUCCCGGGAAACUGGGUUUAAUACCGUAUGUGCCCUUCGGGGGAAAGAUUUAUCGGCAAAGGAUCGGCCCGCGUUGGAUUAGGUAGUUGGUGGGGUAAUGGCCUACCAAGCCGACGAUCCAUAGCUGGUUUGAGAGGAUGAUCAGCCACACUGGGACUGAGACACGGCCCAGACUCCUACGGGAGGCAGCAGUGGGGAAUCUUAGACAAUGGGGGCAACCCUGAUCUAGCCAUGCCGCGUGAGUGAUGAAGGCCUUAGGGUUGUAAAGCUCUUUCAGCUGGGAAGAUAAUGACGGUACCAGCAGAAGAAGCCCCGGCUAACUCCGUGCCAGCAGCCGCGGUAAUACGGAGGGGGCUAGCGUUGUUCGGAAUUACUGGGCGUAAAGCGCACGUAGGCGGACUGGAAAGUUGGGGGUGAAAUCCCGGGGCUCAACCUCGGAACUGCCUUCAAAACUAUCAGUCUGGAGUUCGAGAGAGGUGAGUGGAAUA